AUUAAAUCUACCCUUUAAUCAUUUUCACCUGUUAGAUUAUACUAUUCAACCAACCGCCCACUCAACCCUAGGGGGCCCGCUAUCAACCUAACUAUAACCACUCUGAUCCUGACCGCAUAUUUUUUCAUCCGAACGGUCGAAAACUUAUGAGUACAAAGGACUCUAUACUCAUAUGAGUAUAGUAACCCCAGCCUAUAAAUAUAUAUAUAUGGGGCAAUUGCUUAUAUACCCCUGAAAAGUUUUCAACUUUCCGAUUUACCCCUCUUAGAAGGCUAAUAUUGAAAAUACCCUUUCUACAUUCCAACCUAUUUCUAAUAUACCCCUAGAGUUAAAAUCUGUUAAUGAACUCUAUUAUCUCUAUAAAAUUACUCUUUUGCCCUUUCAAAUAUACCCUUCCACCAUCACUGACUUUCUUAUUUGCCCUUAAUGUAGUACUCUAAACUUGGCACAUUGCGAAGUUCGAGAGUGGAAUUGGUACUUGGAAUUAACCCACAUCUUUUAAAGAGUGGUAGAGAGGUUUUUGGCAAGUUAGAAGAGUGAUCGAAUCGACGGAAGCGCGAAAGUGCAUUGCAAAGUGCAGAAUUCUGCACUCUGCAUUGGGUA
This 603-nucleotide long non-coding RNA is filed under the name Ananas comosus (pineapple). RNAcentral's name for it is "long non-coding RNA (ACOM_LNC040492)". The record is from RNAcentral. Lineage: Eukaryota; Viridiplantae; Streptophyta; Magnoliopsida; Poales; Bromeliaceae.